This 380-nucleotide non-coding RNA is filed under the name Candidatus Blackburnbacteria bacterium RIFCSPLOWO2_01_FULL_40_20. RNAcentral also lists the same sequence under 1 other name. Lineage: Bacteria; Candidatus Blackburniibacteriota. The record is from RNAcentral.
UAGGAAGACAGACGAUUACCCCGUCGUAGCGCUCCACGAGCCGAAGUAGAAAUCUACUAAGGCGAGUGGUAAGCGGAUGACUGGGGAGGAAAGUCCAGGCAGCAGGAAACAGGGUGCCCCGCGUAAGCGGGGGCGGGAGACCGCCAGUAAGAGCCACAGAGACUAUGUCGACCUUAGUACUUAAAACAUACUAAGAUACGAGUGAAAAGUCCCUAACGGGAACCCUUACCACGAGCGCAAGCGAAUGGUUUAGGGGGGCAAUCCUCCCCGCUGCAACCUCCGAAUGGCCCGUUAUACCAGUUUCCGGAAGGGCCGAAGCUUGAGGGCGUUAGACAGAUUAUCGUCGAGAUACAGAACCUGGCUUAUUAUCUUCCUAAGGC